GUCUCAGUUCGGAUUGUAGUCUGCAACUCGACUACAUGAAGCUGGAAUCGCUAGUAAUCGCAGAUCAGAAUGCUGCGGUGAAUACGUUCCCGGGUCUUGUACACACCGCCCGUCACACCAUGGGAGUCGGAAAUGCCCGAAGCCGGUGACCCAACCAAAAGGAGGGAGCCGUCGAAGGCAGGUCUGAUAACUGGGGUGAAGUCGUAACAAGGUAAC
This 216-nucleotide ribosomal RNA is filed under the name uncultured bacterium. RNAcentral describes it as "partial 16S ribosomal RNA". It matches the Rfam family "Bacterial small subunit ribosomal RNA", at positions 1285 to 1500 of the family's 1533-position model. The record is from RNAcentral.